CUUGUGUUUUAGAAGGGAGGAUUGAGAUUUUGGCCUGCAAGGUUCUGUUCCCAGCCCUGACAUGGAUUUGUUAUGACGUUUUUGAGAAGAAAGCGGUGGCUACAAGGAUUAACAGUGGCUAUCCCUGUACUAGGUCUCCUUGUGGUUGUUGAAAAUACUGCAUACUUUAUUAACUGCAAUAUACAUAAAGCCUCCGUUUCAUGGCUCACCCAUCCAGCUUUCUCCAUGAAUGGAUAGGUCAACAGAUUUACACAUCAUGAAGUCAUUGUAUGUACAGAAAACUGAUGAGGCAUCCUGAGCAAAAUAGAACAGCCUAUUCUCUCUCGUUUCAGAAUUGGGCUAGGGUAGCAAUUUACCUACCCACCUGUGGUUUAAAAUAGUUAUCUUCUAAUCCACUUCGUUGGUUCAAAGAGGCAGAAUCUGUUUCAUGUUGAAUGGGCAUUUGAUACAGCAGUAUUGAGUACAGGAAUAAAAAAGAUCCUCCCAAUAUAAACA
Mauremys reevesii (Reeves's turtle) is the source of this 495-nucleotide long non-coding RNA. RefSeq lists it as uncharacterized. The transcript has 3 exons. The record is from RefSeq and is a predicted model, not a curated record. Lineage: Eukaryota; Metazoa; Chordata; Testudines; Geoemydidae.